AUACGUAGGGUGCGAGCGUUGUCCGGAAUGAUUGGGCGUAAAGGGCGCGUAGGCGGCCCGGUAAGUCUGGAGUGAAAGUCCUGUUUUUAAGAUGGGAAUUGCUUUGGAUACUGUCGGGCUUGAGUGCAGGAGAGGUAAGUGGAAUUCCCAGUGUAGCGGUGAAAUGCGUAGAGAUUGGGAGGAACACCAGUGGCGAAGGCGACUUACUGGACUGUAACUGACGCUGAGGCGCGAAAGUGUGGGGAGCAAACAGGAUUAGAUACCCUGGUAGUCCACACUGUAAACGAUGAAUGCUAGGUGUAGGGGGUAUCGACCCCUUCUGUGCCGCAGUCAACACAAUAAGCAUUCCGCCUGGGGAGUACGGCCGCAAGGUUGAAACUCAAAUGAAUUGACGGGG
RNAcentral lists this ribosomal RNA (397 nucleotides) under uncultured bacterium. RNAcentral describes it as "partial 16S ribosomal RNA". It matches the Rfam family "Bacterial small subunit ribosomal RNA", at positions 523 to 918 of the family's 1533-position model. The record is from RNAcentral.